GUCAGUGCACGUUAUCAUUCUUGUUAGUUCUAAGUGAAUUCCCUCGGUAUGAUAAUUUGUUCAUCAGUUUGUUCCCCGUUUCUUCUCUAGCCUGAGCCUGACACACUAUUCUAGCUAGACAUGGGUGUGGCUCGUAACACCUGAUGACCAAACGGAUCUACGACACCAUCGAAUCUCAAACUUUAACUACCAAAACUAUUGUUUUUCAUCCUCUAGUCCCUUUUAGAAUUACUAAACGUCCUUUUUUGGGCCGAGAUUUCCAGGAACGCUUUCUCGGGGUUUGUGUGCAUGUAUUUCAAACCAUACAGACCUAAAAAUUAGAAGUCAUUCCAUCUUUAUUCCCGUAGAGCCUUCCAGCAGUUCCUAAACCGCUCCAGUCGGAGCAUGUUAUCAUUCUUGUUUGUUCUGAGUGAAUUCCCUCGGUAUGAUAAUUCUAUCAUCAGUUUGUUCCCCGUUUCUUCUCUAGCCUGAGCCUGGCAAACUAUUCNNNNNNNNNNNNNNNNNNNNNNNNNNNNNNNNNNNNNNNNNNNNNNNNNNNNNNNNNNNNNNNNNNNNNNNNNNNNNNNNNNNNNNNNNNNNNNNNNNNNNNNNNNNNNNNNNNNNNNNNNNNNNNNNNNNNNNNNCUAAACCGCUCUAGUCGGAGCACGUUAUCAUUCUUGUUAGUUCUGAGUGAAUUCCCUCGGUAUGAUAAUUCUUUCAUCAGUUUGUUCCCUGUUUCUUCUCUAGCCUGAGCCUGACACACUAUUCUAGCUAGACAUGGGUGUGGCUCGUAACACCUAAUGACCAAACGGAUCGACGGCACCAUCGAAUCUCAAACUUUAACUGCCAAAACUAUUGUUUUUCAUCCUGUUGUCCCAUUUAGAAUUACUAAACGUCCUUUUUUGGGCCGAGAUUUAGAGGAACGCUUUCUCGGGGUUUGUGUGCAAGUAUUUCAAACCAUACGGACCUAAAAAUUAGAAGUCAUUCCAUCUUUAUUCCCCUAGAGCCUUCCAGCAGUUCCUAAACCGCUCAAGUCAGAGCAUGUUAUCAUUCUUGUUAGUUCUGAGUGAAUUCCCUCGGUAUGAUAAUUCUUUCAUCAGUUUGUUCCCUGUUUCUUCUCUAGCCUGAGCCUGACACACUAUUCUAGCUAGACAUGGGUGUGGCUCGUAACACCUGAUGACCAAACGGAUCUACGACACCAUUGAAUCUCAAACUUUAACUACCAAAACUAUUAUUUUUCAUCCUGUAGUCCCUUUUAGAAUUACUAAACGUCCUUUUUUGGGCCGAGAUUUCCAAGAACGCUUUCUCGUGGUUUGUGUGCAAGUAUUUCAAACCAUACAGACCUAAAAAUUAGAAGUCAUUCCAUCUUUAUGCCCGUAGAGCCUUCCAGCAGUUCCUAAACCGCUCCAGUCGGAGCACGUUAUCAUUCUUAUUAGUUCUGAGUGAAUUCCCUCAGUAUGAUAAUUCUUUCAUAAGUUUGUUCCCCAUUUCUUCUCUAGCCUGAGCCUGGCACACUAUUCUAGCUAGACAUGGGUGUGGCUCAUAACACUUGUUGACUAAAUGGAUCGACGGCACCAUCGAAUCUCAAACUUUAACUGCCAAAACUAUUGUUUUUCAUCCUGUAGUCCCAUUUAGAAUUAUUAAACGUCCUUUUUUGGGCCGAUAUUUAGAGUAAUGCUUUCUCGGGGUUUGUCUGCAAGUAUUUCAAACCAUACGGACCUAAAAAUUAGAAGUCAUUCCAUCUUUAUUCCCCUAGAGCCUUCCAGCAGUUCCUAAACCGCUCUAGUCGGAGCACGUUAUCAUUCUUGUUAGUUCUGAGUGAAUUCCCUCAGUAUGAUAAUUCUUUCAUCUGUUUGUUCCCCGUUUCUUCUCUAGCCUGAGCCUGACACACUAUUCAAGCUAGACAUGGAUGUGGCUCGUAACACCUGAUGACCAAACGGAUCUACGGCACCAUCGAAUCCCAAACUUUAACUGCCAAAACUAUUGUUUUUCAUCCUGUAGUCCCUUUUAGAAUUACUAAACGUCCUUUUUUGGGCCGAGAUUUCCAGGAAUGCUUUCUCGGGGUUUGUGUGCAAGUAUUUCAAACCAUACAAAGCUAGAAAUUAGAAGUCAUUCCAUCUUUAUUAUCGUAGAGCCUUCCAGCAGUUCCUAAACCGGUCUAGUCGGAGCACGUUAUCAUUCUAGUUAGUUCUGAGUGAAUUCCCUCGGUAUGAUAAUUCUUUCAUCAGUUUGUUCCCCGUUUCUUCUCUAGCCUGAGCCUGACAAACUAUUCUAGCUAGACAUGCGUGUGGCUCGUAACACCUGAUGACCAAACGGAUCUAUAGCACCAUCGAAUCUCAAACUUUAACUGCCAAAACUAUUGUUUUCAUCCUGUAGUCCCUUUUAGAAUUACUAAACUUCCUUUUUUGGGCCGAGAUUUAGAGGAACGCUUUCUGGGGUUUGUGUGCAAGUAUUUCAAACCAUACAGACCUAAAAAUUAGAAGUCAUUCCAUCUUUAUUCCCCUAGAGCCUUCCAGCAGUUCCUAAACCGCUCUAGUCGGAGCACGUUAUCAUUAUUGUUAGUUCUGAGUGAAUUCCCUCGGUAUGAUAAUUCUUUCAUCAGUUUGUUCCCUGUUUCUUCUCUAUCCUGAGCCUGACACACUAUUCUAGCUAGACAUGGGUGUGGCUCGUAACACCUGAUGACUAAAUGGAUCGACGGCACCAUCGAAUCUCAAACUUUAACUGCCAAAACUAUUGUUUUUCAUCCUGUAGUCCCAUUUAGAAUUAGUAAACGUCCUUUUUUGGGCCGAGAUUUAGAGGAACGCUUUCUCGGGGUUUGUGUGCAAGUAUUUCAAACCAUACGGACCUAAAAAUUAGAAGUCAUUCCAUCUUUAUUCCCCUAGUCAUCAGGUAUACACUCAAGUCGGAGCACGUUAUCAUUCUUGUUAGUUCUGAGUGAAUUCCCUCGGUAUGAUAAUUCUUUCAUAAAUUUGUUCCCCGUUUCUUAUAUGGCCUGAGCCUGACACACUAUUCUAGCUAGACAUGGGUGUGGCUCGUAACACCUGAUGACCAAACGGAUCUACGGCACCAUCAAAUCUCAAACUUUAACUGCCAAAACUAUUCUUUUUCAUUCUGUAGUCCCUUCUAGAAUUACUAAACGUCCUUUUUUGGGCCGAGAUUUCCAGGAACGCUUUCUCGGGGUUUGUGUGCAUGUAUUUCAAACCAUACAGACCUAAAAAUUAUAAGUCAUUCCAUCUUUAUUCCCGUAGAGCCUUCCAGUAGUUCCUAAACCGCUCCAGUCGGAGCAUGUUAUCAUUCUUGUUAGUUCUAAGUGAAUUCCCUCGGUAUGAUAAUUCUUUCAUCAGUUUGUUCCCCGUUUCUUCUCUAGCCUGAGCCUGGCACACUAGUCUAGCUAGACAUGGGUGUGGCUCGUAACACCCGAUGACUAAAUGGAUCGACGGCACCAUCGAAUCUCAAACUUUAACUGCCAAAACUAUUGUUUUUCAUCCUGUAGUCCCAUUUAGAAUUACUAAACGUCCUUUUUUGGGCCGAGAUUUAGAGGAACGCUUUCUCGUGGUUUGUGUGCAAGAAUUUCAAACCAUACGGACCUAAAAAUUAGAAGUCAUUCCAUCUUUAUUCCCCUAGAGCCUUCCAGUAGUUCCUAAACCGCUCUAGUCGGAGCACGUUAUCAUUCUUGUUAGUUCUGAGAGAAUUCCCUCGGUAUGAUAAUUCUUUUAUCAGUUUGUUCCCCGUUUCUUCUCUAGCCUGAGCCCGACACACUAUUCUAGCUAGACAUGGGUGUGGCUCGUAACACCUGAUGACCAAACGGAUCUACGGCACCAUCGAAUCUCAAACUUUAACUGCCAAAACUAUUGUUUUUCAUCCUGUAGUCCCUUUUAGAAUUACUAAAUGUCCUUUUUUGGGCCGAGAUUUCCAGGAACGCUUUCUCAGGGUUUGUGUGCAAGUAAUUCAAACCAUACGGACCUAAAAAUUAGAAGUCAUUCCAUCUUUAUUCCCCUAGAGCCUUCCAGCAGUUCCUAAACCGCUCAAGUCAGUGCACGUUAUCAUUCUUGUUAGUUCUAAGUGAAUUCCCUCGGUAUGAUAAUUUGUUCAUCAGUUUGUUCCCCGUUUCUUCUCUAGCCUGAGCCUGACACACUAUUCUAGCUAGACAUGGGUGUGGCUCGUAACACCUGAUGACCAAACGGAUCUACGACACCAUCGAAUCUCAAACUUUAACUACCAAAACUAUUGUUUUUCAUCCUCUAGUCCCUUUUAGAAUUACUAAACGUCCUUUUUUGGGCCGAGAUUUCCAGGAACGCUUUCUCGGGGUUUGUGUGCAUGUAUUUCAAACCAUACAGACCUAAAAAUUAGAAGUCAUUCCAUCUUUAUUCCCGUAGAGCCUUCCAGCAGUUCCUAAACCGCUCCAGUCGGAGCAUGUUAUCAUUCUUGUUUGUUCUGAGUGAAUUCCCUCGGUAUGAUAAUUCUAUCAUCAGUUUGUUCCCCGUUUCUUCUCUAGCCUGAGCCUGGCAAACUAUUCUAGCUAGACAUGGGUGUGGCUCGUAACACCUGAUGACCAAACGGAUCUACGACACCAUCGAAUCUCAAACUUUAACUACCAAAACUAUUGUUUUUCAUUCUAUAGUCCCUUCUAGAAUUUCUAAACGUCCUUUUUUGGGCCGAGAUUUCCAGGAAUGCUUUCUCGGGGUUUGUGUGCAAGUAUUUCAAAUCAUACGGACCUAAAAAUUAGAAGUCAUUCCAUCUUUAUUCCCCUAGAGCCUUCCAGUAGUUCCUAAACCGCUCCAGUCGGAGCACGUUAUCAUUCUUGUUAGUUCAUAGUGAAUUCCCUCGGUAUGAUAAUUCUUUCAUCAGUUUGUUCCCCGUUUCUUCUCUAGCCUGAGCCUGGCACAGUAUUCUAGCUAGACAUGGGUGUGGUCGUAACACCUGAUGACUAAAUGGAUCGACGGCACCAUCGAAUCUCAAACUUUAACUGCCAAAACUAUUGUUUUUCAUCCUGUAAUCCCAUUUAGAAUUACUAAACGUCCUUUUUUGGGCCGAGAUUUAGAGGAACGCUUUGUUGGGGUUUGUGUGCAAGUAUUUCAAACCAUACGGACCUAAAAAUUAGAACUCAUUCCAUAUUUAUUCCCCUUGAGCCUUCCAGCAGUUCCUAAACCGCUCUAGUCGGAGCACGUUAUCAUUCUUGUUAGUUCUAAGAGAAUUCCCUCGGUAUGAUAAUUCUUUUAUCAGUUUGUUCCCCGUUUCUUCUCUAGACUGGGCCCGACACACUAUUCUAGCUAGACAUGGGUGUGGCUCGUAACACCUGAUGACCAAACGGAUCUACGGCACCAUCGAAUCUCAAACUUCAACUGCCAAAACUAUUGUUUUUCAUCCUGUAGUCCCUUUUAGAAUUACUAAACGUCCUUUUUUGGGCCGAGAUUUCCAGGAACGCUUUCUCGGGGUUUGUGUGCAAGUAUUUCAAACCAUACGGACCUAAAAAUUAGAAGUCAUUCCAUCUUUAUUCCCGUAGAGCCAUCCAGCAGUUCCUAAACCGCUCCAGUCGGAGCACGUUAUCAUUCUUGUUAGUUCUGAGUGAAUUCCCUCGGUAUGAUAAUUCUUUCAUCAGUUUGUUCCCCGUUUCUUCUCUAGCCUGAGCCUGACAAACUAUUAUAGCUAGACAUGGGUGUGGCUCGUAACACCUGAUGACCAAACGGAUCUAUGGCACCAUCGAAUCUCAAACUUUAACUGCCAAAACUAUUGUUUUUCAUCCUGUAGUCCCUUUUAGAAUUACUAAACGCCCUUCUUUGGGACGAGAUUUCCAGGAACGCUUUCUCGGGGUUUGUGUGAAAGUAAUUCAAACCAUACGGACCUAAAAAUUAGAAGUCAUUCCAUCUUUAUUCCCGUGGAGCCUUCCAGUAGUUCCUAAACCGCUCCAGUCGGAGCACGUUAUCAUUCUUGUUAGUUCUGAGUGAAUUCCCUCGGUAUGAUAAUUCUUUCAUCAGUUUGUUCCCUGUUUCUUCUCUAGCCUGAGCCUGGCACACUAUUCUAGCUAGACAUGGGUGUGGCUCGUAACACCUGAUGACUAAACUGAUCAAUGACACCAUCGAAUCUCAAACUUUAACUGCCAAAACUAUUGUUUUUCAUCCUGUAGUCCCAUUUAGAAUUACUAAACGUCCUUUUUUGGGCCGAGAUUUCCAGGAACGCUUACUCGGGGUUUGUGUGCAAGUAUUUCAAACCAUACUGACCUAAAAAUUAGAAGUCAAUCCAUCUUUAUUCCCCUAGAGCCUUCCAGCAGUUCCUAAACCGCUCCAGUCGGAGCACGUUAUCAUUCUUGUUAGUUCUGAGUGAAUUCCCUCGGUAUGAUAAUUCUUUCAUCAGUUUGUUCCUUGUUUCUUCUCUAGCCUGAACCUGACACACUAUUCUAGCUAGACAUGGGUGUGGCUCGUAACACCUGAUGACCAAACGGAUCUACGGCACCAUCGAAUCUCAAACUUUAACUGCCAAAACUAUUAUUUUUAAUCCUCUAGUCCCAUUUAGAAUUACUAAACGUCCUUUUUUGGGCCGAGAUUUAGAGGAACGCUUUCAUGCGGUUUGUGUGCAAGUAUUUCAAACCAUACGGACCUAAAAAUUAGAAGUCAUUCCAUCUUUAUUCCCCUAGAGCCUUCCAGCAGUUCCUAAACCGCUCCAGUCGGAGCAUGUUAUCAUUCUUGUUAGUUCUGAGUGAAUUCCCUCGGUAUGAUAAUUCUUUCAUCAGUUUGUGGCCCGUUUCUUCUCUAGCCUGAGCCUGACACACUAUUCUAGCUAGACGUGGGUGUGGCUCGUAACACCUGAUGACCAAACGGAUCUACGGCACCAUCGAAUCUCAAACUUUAAGUGCCAAAACUAUUAUUUUUAAUCCUGUAGUCCCAUUUAGAAUUAC
RNAcentral lists this long non-coding RNA (6871 nucleotides) under Triticum aestivum (bread wheat). Its description in RNAcentral is "long non-coding RNA (TAES_LNC028121)". Lineage: Eukaryota; Viridiplantae; Streptophyta; Magnoliopsida; Poales; Poaceae. The record is from RNAcentral.